This 1743-nucleotide long non-coding RNA is filed under the name Diabrotica virgifera virgifera (western corn rootworm). RNAcentral's name for it is "uncharacterized LOC126887409". The record is from RNAcentral. Lineage: Eukaryota; Metazoa; Arthropoda; Insecta; Coleoptera; Chrysomelidae.
CGCACACUUGAUCCAACGUUGCCAAGUCACUAAAAUCUCAAUAUUUGACACCAAUUUGACAAUUGACAGAUUAUCUUUUAAAUAAAUAAAUAAAUGUAAAUAGUUAUCCUAACUGAAAACAAAGUCGGGAGCAAAGGAUUAAUGGAUAUGUAAAAGCCAUAAGGAGAACAGAACUAAAAUUAAAAUAUGAAAGAAUAUGCAAUAAACAUUGUAUAAAAGUGGAAAGCCAGCCACUUUAAAAAGAUAUUCCAAACUAAAACAUGGGUUACCAAAGCAGGCAAUAAAAAGAAAAGGUAAUCUAGAAUGCAAGAGAAGAGCUGAUGAAAGAAGUAAAUGUAAAGAAAAUAAUGAAGAGACUUCUCUGGACCAUGAACAAACACCAGCUCUUUUAUACAGUAUGUCCCUGUAAGUUGUAUCCAUAUGGAAAACUUUUUUAUUAUUAAUUUUACGAAAAAAACUUAUUCCUUAUAAAAAGCUCUGCAUGGUCCAAAAUCUAAGAUUUAACUAUAAAAUAUCAAAUUUUUUGAAUAUUAUACGAGUUAUGUCAAAAAGUUUGAAUUUCACUCAAGAGUAAAGUAGCUUUAUUUUUCGUAAUAUUGGAAAUUGCUAUUAUGAAAAGUUGUUUGGAAUUAAAAACUAUAUUCUAAUAUGCAACUACAUCCUUCUAAUUGAAAAAUUUUUUUUUUUUUAAAUUAUGUAUAACUCAUUAUUUUUUCAGUUAUUUCAAUUCUGAUAACUCUUUUAUUAUUAAUUUUACGAAAAAAAGUGAUUCUUAAUAAAAAGUUCUGGAUGGUCUAAAACUUAAAAUACAACCAUCUUAUAUCAAAUUUUAUCAAUUUUAUACGAGGUAUGUCAAAAAAGAUAAAUUUAGAUCAAAAGUAAAGAACCUUUAUAGUUCAGAAUAUUUCAAUUAGAAGAAUGUAAUUACAUACUGAAACAUAAUUUUUAAUUCUAAAUAACUUUUCAUAAUAACAAUUUUCGAUAUUGUGAAAAAUAAACGUAUUUUACUCUUGAGCGAAAUUCAUAUUUUUUGACAUACCUCGUAUAAAAUUGAUAAAAUUUGACAAAAGAUGGUUGUAUUUUAGAUUUUAGGUCAUGCAAAACUUUUUAUUAAUAAUCACUUUUUUUCGUAAAAUUAAUAAUAAAAGAGUUAUCUGAAUUAAAAUAACCGAAAAUAAUGUUAGUUACCCAAAUUUUUUCAAAAAAAAAAAUUUUCAAUUAGAAGGAUGUAAUUGCAUACUAGAAUACAGUUUUUAAUUCCAAACAACUUUUCAUAAUAGAAAUUUUCAAUAUUGUGAAAAAUAAAGCUACUUUACUCUUGAGUGAAAUUCAAACUUUUUGACAUACCUCGUAUAAUAUUCAAAAAAUUUGAUAUUUGAUGGUUAAAUCUUAGGUUUUGGACCAUGCAGAGCUUUUUAUAAAGAAUAACUUUUUUUCGUAAAAUUAAUAAUAAAAAAGUUUUCCAUAUGGAUACAACUUACAGGGACAUACUGUAUAUGUAGAAAAAGGAAAAACUGCUGGAACUUUAAUUUAAAGGCUUUUGACUAGUGAAGAUUUGGAUAAACAACAGGAGUUACUUUGGGCUAUAGCUACGUGCAAAUUUAUUUUCUUGUGGCUUCCUAUGUUUAUUCUUAUUAACUAUAUCUACACUUUGAUAUGUUUUUAGUCGCAUGAAGAUUUUAUAGUUUAUUAUUUUAUGUAUAUUGUUAUAUUUGUGUUGAAUAAACAUUAUUAUUAUUAUUA